This 162-nucleotide small nuclear RNA is filed under the name Sorex araneus (European shrew). RNAcentral describes it as "U1 spliceosomal RNA (ENSSARG00000016649.1)". It matches the Rfam family "U1 spliceosomal RNA". Rfam says of the family: U1 is a small nuclear RNA (snRNA) component of the spliceosome (involved in pre-mRNA splicing). Its 5' end forms complementary base pairs with the 5' splice junction, thus defining the 5' donor site of an intron. Lineage: Eukaryota; Metazoa; Chordata; Mammalia; Eulipotyphla; Soricidae. The record is from RNAcentral.
GUGCUCACCUGGUGGGAGUGAUACCAUGAACCCAAAGGUGCUUCUCCCAGGUUGUGGCUGAUCCUUGCACUCAGAACAUGCUGACUCCUGUCAUUUUCCCAGUGUGGGAAAGUACUCAGCCAUAUGGUUCAUAGCAGUGGGAACUGCACUGGUGCUUACCAU